GAUGAACGCUGGCGGCGUGCCUAAUACAUGCAAGUCGAGCGAACAGACGAGGAGCUUGCUCCUCUGACGUUAGCGGCGGACGGGUGAGUAACACGUGGAUAACCUACCUAUAAGACUGGGAUAACUUCGGGAAACCGGAGCUAAUACCGGAUAAUAUAUUGAACCGCAUGGUUCAAUAGUGAAAGACGGUUUUGCUGUAACUUAUAGAUGGAUCCGCGCCGCAUUAGCUAGUUGGUAAGGUAACGGCUUACCAAGGCAACGAUGAGUAGCCGACCUGAGAGGGGGAUCGGCCACACUGGAACUGAGACACGGUCAAGACUCCUACGGGAGGCAGCAGUAGGGAAUCUUCCGAAAUGGGCGAAAGCCUGACGGAGCAACGCCGCGUGAGUGAUGAAGGUCUUCGGAUCGUAAAACUCUGUUAUUAGGGAAGAACAAAUGUGUAAGUAACUAUGCACGUCUUGACGGUACCUAAUCAGAAAGCCACGGCUAACUACGUG
RNAcentral lists this ribosomal RNA (497 nucleotides) under uncultured bacterium. RNAcentral describes it as "partial 16S ribosomal RNA". It matches the Rfam family "Bacterial small subunit ribosomal RNA", at positions 28 to 507 of the family's 1533-position model. The record is from RNAcentral.